Molecule: ribosomal RNA, 119 nt
Filed under: Pteropus alecto (black flying fox)
Lineage: Eukaryota; Metazoa; Chordata; Mammalia; Chiroptera; Pteropodidae
Source: RNAcentral
GCCAAUACACAUGCUACCCUGAACGAGCCCCAUCCUGUCUAAUCUCAGAAGCUAAAUAGGGUGGGGCCUGGUUAGUACUUGGAUGGGAGACCACCUAGGAAGACCAGGUGCUGUAGGCG